This 450-nucleotide ribosomal RNA is filed under the name uncultured bacterium. RNAcentral describes it as "bacterial SSU rRNA". It matches the Rfam family "Bacterial small subunit ribosomal RNA", at positions 355 to 825 of the family's 1533-position model. The record is from RNAcentral.
UAGGGAAUAUUGCACAAUGGGGGAAACCCUGAUGCAGCGACGCCGCGUGAGUGAUGAAGGCCUUCGGGUCGUAAAGCUCUGUUGAACGGGAAGAAACAAAUGACGGUACCGUUUAAGAAAGGAUCGGCUAACUUCGUGCCAGCAGCCGCGGUAAUACGAGGGAUCCUAGCGUUGUUCGGAAUCAUUGGGCGUAAAGAGUAUGUAGGCGGCCUAGUAAGUCAGAUGUGAAAUCCCCGGGCUCAACCUGGGAAUUGCAUUUGAGACUGCACGGCUAGAGUGUGUCAGAGGGGGGUAGAAUUCCACGUGUAGCAGUGAAAUGCGUAGAUAUGUGGAGGAAUACCGAUGGCGAAGGCAGCCCCCUGGGAUAACACUGACGCUCAUGCACGAAAGCGUGGGGAGCAAACAGGAUUAGAUACCCCCGUAGUCCCUGAGCGGGCUGGCAAGGCGCAU